Molecule: ribosomal RNA, 2087 nt
Filed under: invertebrate metagenome
Description: bacterial LSU rRNA
Rfam family: Bacterial large subunit ribosomal RNA
Source: RNAcentral
AAUCGGGCCUGGAUCUAGCUGGUUCUUUCCGAAAUGCGUUGAGGCGCAGCCGGCGACAAUGAUCUGUCUAGGGGUAAAGCACUGUUUCGGUGCGGGCUUCGAAAGAGGUACCAAAUCGUCGCAAACUAAGAAUACUAGGCAUGACUUCUGUCGCCGAGUGGGACUGUGGGGGAUAAGCUUCAUAGUCGAGAGGGAAAGAGCCCAGAUCACCAGCUAAGGCCCCUAAAUGAUAGCUAAGUGUAAAAGGAGGUGAGGAUGCAGAAACAACCAGGAGGUUCGCUUAGAAGCAGCUACCCUUUAAAGAGUGCGUAAUAGCUCACUGGUGGAGCGUCCUCGCGCCGAAAAUGCAUAGGGACUUAAGCUAUCUGCCGACGCUGUGGGAUAGUCAAUCGUGACUAUCGGUAGGAGAGCGUUCUGCAUGUGGGUGAAGCUUUCUCGUAAGGGUGAGUGGACACUGCAGAAGUGAGAAUGUCGGCUUGAGUAACGAAAACAUUGGUGAGAAUCCAAUGCCCCGAAACCCUAAGGGUUCCUUCACUAGGCUCGUCCUUGGAGGGUGAGUCGGGUCUUAAGGCGAGGCCGAAAGGCGUAGUCGAUAGCAAACAGGUUAAUAUUCCUGUACUUUAUAUAUCGGGAUACCGAGGGACGAUGGAGGCCCAACAUAUCUCGAAGAUUGGUAUUUUGAGGGAUGGCACGAGUCGUUGAGAUUGCGAAGAAAAACGUAUUUCGAGAUAAGUGCUAUCUAGUGAAAAGGUUUACUUUUUCAUGUAUAUGAUGACGUCAUACUUCCAAGAAAAGCUCGAACUAUCGAUGCGAUAUAUAAACCCGUACCCGAAACCGACACAGGUGGGGUAGUAGAGCAUACUAAGGGGCGCGAGAUAACUCUCUCUAAGGAACUCGGCAAAAUAAUUCCGUAACUUCGGGAGAAGGAAUGCCUCUGAUAAAGAGGUCGCAGAGAAUAGGCCCAGGCGACUGUUUACCAAAAACACAGGUCUCCGCAAAGUCGUAAGACGAUCUAUGGGGGCUGACGCCUGCCCGGUGCCGGACGGUGAAGGAAGUUGGUUAUUCGCAAGGAGAAGCUGACGACCGAAGCCCCGGUGAACGGCGGCCGUAACUAUAACGGUCCUAAGGUAGCGAAAUUCAUUGUCGGGUAAGUUCCGACCCGCACGAAAGGCGUAACGAUCUGGGCGCUGUCUCGGAGAGAGACCCGGCGAAAUAGACAUAUCCGUGAAGAUGCGGAUUACUUACACUGGGACAGAAAGACCCUAUGAAGCUUUACUGUAGCUUGGAAUUGAAAUCGGGCUCGUUUUGCGCAGCCUAGGUGGGAGGCGUUGAAGAUCUUUCUCCGGGAAGAUUGGAGCCAUCAUUGAGAGACCACUCUUAACGAGCUAGAUUUCUAAUUGUGCUCCUUGAAUCAGGACACAAGACAGUUUCUGGUGGGCAGUUUUAUUGGGGCAAUAGCCUCCUAAAAGGUAACGGAGGCGCGCAAAGGUUCCCUCAGGCUAGACGGAAAUUAGCCGCAGAGCGUAAAGGCAGAAGGGAGCUUGACUGCAAGACCGACACGUCGAGCAGGAGCGAAAGCUGGCCUUAGUGAUCCGACGGUACUGCGUGGAAAGGCCGUCGCUCAACGGAUAAAAGUUACUCUAGGGAUAACAGGCUGAUCACUCCCAAGAGUUCACAUCGACGGAGUGGUUUGGCACCUCGAUGUCGGCUCAUCGCAACCUGGAGCUGAAGCAGGUUCCAAGGGUUGGGCUGUUCGCCCAUGAAAGCGGUACGUGAGCUGGGUUCAGAACGUCGCAAGACAGUUUGGUCCAUAUCUAGUGUGAGCGUUAGAGCAUUGAGAGGAGCCUUCCAUAGUACGAGAGGACCUGGAAGGACACACCACUAGUAUGCCAGUUCUCGUGCCAACGGGAAACGCUGGGUAGCUAUGUGUGGAACGGAUAAUUGCUGAAAGCAUCUAAGUAAGAAGCCUACCUCAAGAUGAGUGCUCUCCUGAGGCCACGGCAAGACUAGCCGUUUGAUAGACGUUAAGUGUAAGGCGAGCAAUCGUUUGAGCUGAGACGCACUAACAGGCCGACUGAGUUUGAUCU